Molecule: ribosomal RNA, 451 nt
Filed under: uncultured bacterium
Lineage: Bacteria
Description: partial 16S ribosomal RNA
Rfam family: Bacterial small subunit ribosomal RNA
Source: RNAcentral
GUGGGGAAUAUUGGACAAUGGGCGAAAGCCUGAUCCAGCCAUGCCGCGUGUGUGAAGAAGGCCUUUUGGUUGUAAAGCACUUUAAGCGAGGAGGAGGCUACUGAGAUUAAUACUCUUGGAUAGUGGACGUUACUCGCAGAAUAAGCACCGGCUAACUCUGUGCCAGCAGCCGCGGUAAUACAGAGGGUGCGAGCGUUAAUCGGAUUUACUGGGCGUAAAGCGUGCGUAGGCGGCUUUUUAAGUCGGAUGUGAAAUCCCUGAGCUUAACUUAGGAAUUGCAUUCGAUACUGGGAAGCUAGAGUAUGGGAGAGGAUGGUAGAAUUCCAGGUGUAGCGGUGAAAUGCGUAGAGAUCUGGAGGAAUACCGAUGGCGAAGGCAGCCAUCUGGCCUAAUACUGACGCUGAGGUACGAAAGCAUGGGGAGCAAACAGGAUUAGAAACCCGUGUAGUCC